This 300-nucleotide long non-coding RNA is filed under the name Fukomys damarensis (Damara mole-rat). RNAcentral's name for it is "lncRNA (ENSFDAG00000029281.1)". The record is from RNAcentral. Lineage: Eukaryota; Metazoa; Chordata; Mammalia; Rodentia; Bathyergidae.
AUGUGGUUGGAGCAGACAGUGUAUGAUGGAUCUUACCUAAGGCAAACAGCCAAUGCCUCAUGCUGCUAUGUGAUUUUAUUUCCAGCACUGGCUAACUAUAGAGGGAACAACCCUUCUUUGCCUACAGGAAAUCUCUCAUUUCCAUGGAUGUACAGCUGGCCAGGAGAGCUCCAGCAGCUGACGAUGGAUCCAGGGACAGAAGCAUCAACUUGUGCAACCACUGCCCGAGAAGACGUGUUUCCUAACCCACCUUAUGGUGAGUGGCCAGCCCUGUGGCCAGCGGGGCAAGAGCCAGCGUGA